GACGAACGCUGGCGGCGUGCCUAAUACAUGCAAGUUGAGCGCUGAAGGUUGGUACUUGUACCAACUGGAUGAGCAGCGAACGGGUGAGUAACGCGUGGGGAAUCUGCCUUUGAGCGGGGGACAACAUUUGGAAACGAAUGCUAAUACCGCAUAAAAACUUUAAACACAAGUUUUAAGUUUGAAAGAUGCAAUUGCAUCACUCAAAGAUGAUCCCGCGUUGUAUUAGCUAGUUGGUGAGGUAAAGGCUCACCAAGGCGAUGAUACAUAGCCGACCUGAGAGGGUGAUCGGCCACAUUGGGACUGAGACACGGCCCAAACUCCUACGGGAGGCAGCAGUAGGGGAUCUUCGGCAAUGGGCGAAAGUCUGACCGAGCAACGCCGCGUGAGUGAAGAAGGUUUUCGGAUCGUAAAACUCUGUUGGUAGAGAAGAACGUUGGUGAGAGUGGAAAGCUCAUCAAGUGACGGUAACUACCCAGAAAGGGACGGCUAACUACGUG
Molecule: ribosomal RNA, 497 nt
Filed under: uncultured bacterium
Lineage: Bacteria
Description: partial 16S ribosomal RNA
Rfam family: Bacterial small subunit ribosomal RNA
Source: RNAcentral